RNAcentral lists this ribosomal RNA (798 nucleotides) under uncultured bacterium. RNAcentral describes it as "bacterial SSU rRNA". It matches the Rfam family "Bacterial small subunit ribosomal RNA", at positions 56 to 900 of the family's 1533-position model. The record is from RNAcentral.
UGCAAGUCGAACGAACCCUUCGGGGUUAGUGGCGCACAGGUGCGUAACGCGUGGGAACCUGCCUUUAGGUUCGGAAUAACAGUUAGAAAUGACUGCUAAUACUGGAUAAUGUCUUCGGACCAAAGAUUUAUUGCCUUUAGAUGGGCCCGCGUUGGAUUAGAUAGUUGGUGGGGUAAUGGCCUACCAAGUCGACGACCCAUAGCUGGUCUGAGAGGAUGAUCAGCCACACUGGGACUGAGACACGGCCCAGACUCCUACGGGAGGCAGCAGUGGGGAAUAUUGGACAAUGGGCGAAAGCCUGAUCCAGCAAUGCCGCGUGAGUGAUGAAGGCCUUAGGGUUGUAAAGCUCUUUUACCAGGGAUGAUAAUGACAGUACCUGGAGAAUAAGCUCCGGCUAACUCCGUGCCAGCAGCCGCGGUAAUACGGAGGGAGCUAGCGUUGUUCGGAAUUACUGGGCGUAAAGCGCACGUAGGCGGCUUUUCAAGUCAGGGGUGAAAUCCCGGGGCUCAACCCCGGAACUGCCCUUGAAACUGGAUGGCUAGAAUACUGGAGAGGUGAGUGGAAUUCCGAGUGUAGAGGUGAAAUUCGUAGAUAUUCGGAAGAACACCAGUGGCGAAGGCGACUCACUGGACAGUUAUUGACGCUGAGGUGCGAAAGCGUGGGGAGCGAACAGGAUUAGAUACCCUGGUAGUCCACGCCGUAAACGAUGAUAACUAGCUGUCCGGGCUCAUGGAGCUUGGGUGGCGCAGCUAACGCAUUAAGUUAUCCGCCUGGGGAGUACGGUCGCAAGAUUAAAAC